RNAcentral lists this long non-coding RNA (705 nucleotides) under Olea europaea (common olive). Its description in RNAcentral is "long non-coding RNA (OEUR_LNC002955)". Lineage: Eukaryota; Viridiplantae; Streptophyta; Magnoliopsida; Lamiales; Oleaceae. The record is from RNAcentral.
UUUUGAUGGCAAAUAUAGGUCUAAAACAAAUGCAAAAAAGUAAAAUAUGUUUUAACUGCAGUAAAUUUGGACAUGGUGAAAUAGACUAUCGUAGGAAUGAUAAUAAAAGGAAAAAUAAGGAGAGUGGUAUGGCGAAUGUUGCCACUGGGUCGAAUUAUGACUUGUGUGAGGUUUAGUGAGAGUAAAUUUGGCUACUACAUGUGCAUCAGUGUGUAAUCCUUUCUGUAUGUAUAAUUGCUUAAUUUUGUAGCAUUGAUAUGUUACACUUUUAAUUUGUUUGUGUCUAUAAUUGCAUGAAUUGGAGUGAUCUAAUUACUUUGUGUAAUGUGUUUACAUACAUAGUGGGUUGAGAUCUAGGAGUGAUCUAAUUACUUUGUGUAAUGUGUUUACAUACAUAGUGGGUUGAGAUCUAUGGCGUACUCCUUUUUGCUCUGUGAAUGGUGUGGGAGAGUAGGGUAGUGAGUAGAAAGAAGGACGACCAUUUUUUUCCUGUAUCUUUGUGAGCUUGUAUGGUUUGUAAGAUUAUUUGGGGGCAACCACGUGUGAGUUAUCUUCUUCCUCUUUAUAAGCUUCUUUUGUGAGUAUAGUGAGUAACCAAUUCUUUUUCUAUUCUUUUGUGAGUACCACAUUCACCCUUUCCUUUGUGAAUUUUUUCGCAUUAGAGUUGGAGUAACUUUAUGGUGGGUGUGUCAAUUUAAAUUGCGC